This 1688-nucleotide small RNA is filed under the name Pongo abelii (Sumatran orangutan). RNAcentral's name for it is "retained intron". The record is from RNAcentral. Lineage: Eukaryota; Metazoa; Chordata; Mammalia; Primates; Hominidae.
AAUACUUUUGAUCACUUCCAUUUGCCUGCAAAGCCAGAAACUUCUCUCAAGAAGAUUAUAGCUGAGUAUGUAAAACAAAAUAUAUGUAUAACUGUAAUACCAACAAGCACAGUGGUAAGUUAUAACAAGAUAUACAAAGUAAUAGAAAUUAAGAAGUGAGAAUAUCUUCAGGCGAAGGCAACUGAGAAGCUGGAGUUCAAAGUUUAAGGCUGUGUUAAAACACAACCUGAAGUUCCCAGUAGAAUCUUGCUAUAGACUUUUGGUGGCUCUGAGAAUUCCCCUGGUCACCUCAGUGUGAGGGGUGGGUGAUUCUUAACCUCUGGUGGGUUUUGUUGCAGUUUAGCUGCUGUGGAGGGAUUUCCUACAAGGACUGGUCUCAGAACAUGUAUUUCAACUGCUCGGAAGACAACCCCAGUCGAGAGCGCUGCUCUGUGCCUUACUCCUGUUGCUUGCCUACCCCUGACCAGGCAGUGAUCAACACUAUGUGUGGCCAAGGUAUGCAGGCCUUUGACUACUUGGAAGCUAGCAAAGUCAUCUACACCAAUGGCUGUAUUGACAAGUUGGUCAACUGGAUACACAGCAACCUAUUCUUACUUGGUGGUGUGGCUCUAGGCCUGGCCAUCCCCCAGCUGGUGGGAAUUCUGCUGUCCCAGAUCCUAGUGAAUCAGAUCAAAGAUCAGAUCAAGCUACAGCUCUACAACCAGCAGCACCGGGCUGACCCAUGGUACUGAGAAUCCAUCCUGCACCUCCUCACCAUGGAAACUGGCAAGCCUCAUAAACCAACAGCAGCAGGUGCUGAGAACAGCACCAAAUGGAGAUUUGGAUUCCAGCCCCCCAGUGACAGCCCAGUGGGAAGAAGCAAACUCCAGAUGGGCAGAAAGCAAGGUGCACAGGUGGCUCCGGUCUCAGGAGGAUGCGCCUCUUCUCCCCCAUCCCAGCCUUCAGCAUUGUGCCAGAGUGAUACCCUUAAGUGUCUGGGUUUAUGUUUUCAGUUUUGUUUGGGAAACAGCAGUUGCACAGAGAGUUGGGGGGUACUGCUGCUGCCUUUUCACCGAGGCACUGCCACCACCAGCUCUACCAGGGAUGCUCCUGAGCUUGGCGGACAUACUUAGAUCCUAACGUGCCAGUGAGACCUGGCUGUGGAGAGUAGCACUGGCAGCCCUGCCUGGACUCCACUUGGCAUGAUACCAGCUCCAGAAGGGAAGGGAGUGGAGCAGGCAGUGAGGAGCCAGCCUGGGGGUCGGCUGGGGACAGCCGUAUGUGCUAGGUGGGAGUGGAGGGGGAUAUGUUUACCAAAUGCCUGUCCUGCCAUCCUCCCAGGUAGUCAGAGUGAGCUACAUCCUGCCCCGCCUUCAUUUCCAUGGAAACAUGGCAGCUAGGGCACGGGGUACAACAGCAGCCAAAUUCUUCCCCACCUCCCUUACUUCGAAAAAAAGUUUGGAACCCUGGUCCCUAUACUCUGCAGUCAGAAGUGGGACUGAGCCAUACAUGCCCUUGUAUUCCUCCCUGUCUGGCCCUCCCUCUCCAGCAAGCAGGGUUUUCUUUAACUUGGCAGUGUGCAGAGGAGAAGUGGUAACACCCCCACCCCAUUCCCCUGCAUCGGAGCUCAGUAUUCCUACAGGGUAAGAGGUAGGAAUCUUGCUGGGACGAGGGGAGCCAGAAGUGGCAAUAAAAGCGUGUUGACCUGG